CAGCCGCCGCGGGAAUACGUAGGGUGCGAGCGUUAAUCGGAAUUACUGGGCGUAAAGCGUGCGCAGGCGGUUAUAUAAGACAGAUGUGAAAUCCCCGGGCUCAACCCGGGACCUGCAUUUGUGACUGUAUAGCUAGAGUACGGUAGAGGGGGAUGGAAUUCCGCGUGUAGCAGUGAAAUGCGUAGAUAUGCGGAGGAACACCGAUGGCGAAGGCAAUCCCCUGGACCUGUACUGACGCUCAUGCACGAAAGCGUGGGGAGCAAACAGGAUUAGAUACCCCCGUAGUCCCUGUCUCUUAUAC
This 301-nucleotide ribosomal RNA is filed under the name uncultured bacterium. Its description in RNAcentral is "partial 16S ribosomal RNA". It matches the Rfam family "Bacterial small subunit ribosomal RNA", at positions 509 to 807 of the family's 1533-position model. The record is from RNAcentral.